AUGAGGGAUGAAGUUCUUAGACCUCCUUCCAUUAGCCACUGCUUGGAAAAGUUUAGUAUUAGCAUCUCCUUCUCGGAUCCAUCUAAUUCUGGAGCGUUGUCUUUCAAUGGUGCGUUGAAGGGAGGCAAGCCCAAGGACCGAAUGCUUAAGGGACCUACUCAACCAUCUCCCCUUCCAAUUGAGAACCCGGGCCUCCAUAGCUCUGUCCAGCCUAUGUAUGACAUAGUUCACCACAGCCAACUGAAUUUUGAUGUUCCCCAUCUUCUUUUGGCCCCAGGCUUGAAGGGCAGAAGCGGUGUUUCUGAGCAACUGAUCAAGCCUCUUAAAAGGGUCAACAAUAUCGCCUUCACACACCCAUGCGUCUUUGACAGCCUGCUCAAAUCCAUCCAAACGAGUCCAAAAAAGCUCAAAACGAAACCUACGCUUCGGGCAGAAGGGGGCCGAAGUGGAAAGAUGGAGGGGCGCGUGGUCCGAGAUGUUGGUGGAGAGAGCUUGGAGCAGCACGUCCGGGAAAUUGAGCUCCCAGUCAACAGAGACAAGCACCCGAUCGAUCUUGGUCAUAACCACCUGCUCUCUCUCGUUAGACCACGUGAACCUCCUGCCAUGCAUGUAAAUCUCUUUGAGUUCAUUGUUGUCCACGAACGAUUUGAACUUCCUCAUCAUGCUCCUAUUAAGAUUAGAGUUGCUUUUCUCCUCGGCUCCAAUGAUCAUGUUGAAGUCUCCAAGCACCAUCCAGGGGCCCAGAGACACAUCCCUUCUAAGCUAGAGAUCAACGAGAAACUGGGUUUUACGCUCAUUGCCUUGAGGCCCGUACACAACCGACAACCACCACUCGAAGCCGUCCUUGUUACGGACCAGGCCCGAGAGGAAGUUGGUAUCCCGAGAGAUGUUGUUAAUUACCAAAAUCGUGUUGUCCCAACCCAAAAGGAUUCCACCCCUAGUGUCAGAAGCAGGUAA
This 957-nucleotide ribosomal RNA is filed under the name Triticum aestivum (bread wheat). RNAcentral's name for it is "partial small subunit ribosomal RNA". Lineage: Eukaryota; Viridiplantae; Streptophyta; Magnoliopsida; Poales; Poaceae. The record is from RNAcentral.